GCCAGCUUGACUGCGAGCGUGACGGCGCGAGCAGGUGCGAAAGCAGGUCAUAGUGAUCCGGUGGUUCUGAAUGGAAGGGCCAUCGCUCAACGGAUAAAAGGUACUCCGGGGAUAACAGGCUGAUACCGCCCAAGAGUUCAUAUCGACGGCGGUGUUUGGCACCUCGAUGUCGGCUCAUCACAUCCUGGGGCUGAAGUAGGUCCCAAGGGUAUGGCUGUUCGCCAUUUAAAGUGGUACGCGAGCUGGGUUUAGAACGUCGUGAGACAGUUCGGUCCCUAUCUGCCGUGGGCGCUGGAGAACUGAGGGGGGCUGCUCCUAGUACGAGAGGACCGGAGUGGACGCAUCACUGGUGUUCGGGUUGUCAUGCCAAUGGCACUGCCCGGUAGCUAAAUGCGGAAGAGAUAAGUGCUGAAAGCAUCUAAGCACGAAACUUGCCCCGA
This 440-nucleotide ribosomal RNA is filed under the name Salmonella enterica. RNAcentral describes it as "partial 23S ribosomal RNA". It matches the Rfam family "Bacterial large subunit ribosomal RNA", at positions 2363 to 2802 of the family's 2925-position model. RNAcentral also lists the same sequence under 2 other names. The record is from RNAcentral. Lineage: Bacteria; Pseudomonadati; Pseudomonadota; Gammaproteobacteria; Enterobacterales; Enterobacteriaceae.